RNAcentral lists this ribosomal RNA (450 nucleotides) under uncultured bacterium. Its description in RNAcentral is "partial 16S ribosomal RNA". It matches the Rfam family "Bacterial small subunit ribosomal RNA", at positions 354 to 796 of the family's 1533-position model. The record is from RNAcentral.
GUGGGGAAUAUUGGACAAUGGGCGAAAGCCUGAUCCAGCCAUGCCGCGUGUGUGAAGAAGGUCUUCGGAUUGUAAAGCACUUUAAGUUGGGAGGAAGGGCAGUAAGUUAAUACCUUGCUGUUUUGACGUUACCGACAGAAUAAGCACCGGCUAACUUCGUGCCAGCAGCCGCGGUAAUACGAAGGGUGCAAGCGUUAAUCGGAAUUACUGGGCGUAAAGCGCGCGUAGGUGGUUUUGUAAGUUGGAGGUGAAAUCCCCGGGCUCAACCUGGGAACUGCCUCCAAAUCUGCAUGACUAGAGUACGGUAGAGGGUAGUGGAAUUUCCUGUGUAGCGGUGAAAUGCGUAGAUAUAGGAAGGAACACCAGUGGCGAAGGCGACUACCUGGACUGAUACUGACACUGAGGUGCGAAAGCGUGGGGAGCAAACAGGAUUAGAAACCCCUGUAGUCC